AUAGGUGAACCUGCGGAAGAUUAUUAACACGUAUCCAAACGUUAAAACCCCCCUGUGAACCUUGAACACCAAUGCAUCCUGCACACGUUCACGGGUCAACCCCUUGUAAAUCAUUGUCUGAAGCAGAUUUUGAGUUAGAGGCCGGUUUAGCAUCGUGACUCCAUUGUUUUGAAAGUUUUCAUUCGGUUUGCGUAAGAGUUGGCGCAGGAAACGAUCGCUGGGCCCACACGGCCCAGCGUCAGGGGCCUCUCCGCGGUUACAAUCUGCGGCAAGGGAUACGCACGGAGCUUAUCUCAAUGACGAGAGAGACGCCUGGCGCCGAAAGGUUGUAGGCAUUUAAAAAACGAACAACUGUUAACAAUGGAUAUAUUGGUUCUC
Molecule: unclassified non-coding RNA, 378 nt
Filed under: rhizosphere metagenome
Description: partial ribosomal RNA internal transcribed spacer region
Source: RNAcentral